AAGACUAUACUUUCAGGGAUCAUUUCUGUAGUUUGUACUCCUCCUUCAUUCCUUCCACUCUGAGCUAAUACUAUCCGGUGGA
Molecule: small nucleolar RNA, 82 nt
Organism: Bos taurus (domestic cattle)
Lineage: Eukaryota; Metazoa; Chordata; Mammalia; Artiodactyla; Bovidae
Gene: U3
Rfam family: Small nucleolar RNA U3
About the family: Small nucleolar RNAs (snoRNAs) are involved in the processing and modification of rRNA in the nucleolus.
Source: Ensembl